Non-coding RNA from Staphylotrichum tortipilum, 82 nucleotides. The record is from the annotation of a GenBank genome assembly. NCBI's taxonomy places the organism in Eukaryota, Fungi, Ascomycota, Sordariomycetes, Sordariales, Chaetomiaceae.
ACCUCUCUGGUGUAUCGGUUAACAUAGCGGAUUCUCAUACAGAGCACUUCCGUUGCGCGGGGUUCGACUCCCCGGAGGGGUA